GUCUGUCUGAGCUGCUUCUGUCUCUGGCUUCAGAUGAGUUUUCGCGGUAGGGCAGCCUGGCCGCAGACAGCUCUAGGCUCACCUCACAUCACCUUUGGCUUCAGAAGGAGGGCCCACCAAGACAAAUUCUCAGGGUAAGACUUCGAUUGGCUAGGCCUCGGUCACGUGCUCAUCUCUGGACCAAUCACUGCAAGAGCAUGGGAGGGGCACCGUGACUGGUCAGGCCCGGGUCGAGUGCCCAGCCCAGUGGUCAGAAGGGAGGUGAGGGGACAGCCCCGCCAGAACCACCAGGAGAAGGGCAGCUCCUCAAAGCAAGGAAAACUGGGUGGAUAAAAGCAACAGAUGUCCAGUCUUGCUAUUUUCUGAAUGCUCAGCUAGACAACAAGACGAAAGCCAACGAAAUGGGUGGAUCUGGUCCCUGGUCCACUUAACUGCUGCCUUGGAUGUAAAUACACAGUGGAAGAAUGUUCACGAAAAUCUUAACAGGCACGGUCUCUGUGCCGUGGGAUUUAAGACAUUCAGUGAGAUAGAUGUGAUCAUCCCCAUUUUAUAAUGAGGAGCUGAGGCCCGGAGGGUAAGGUGUCCUGUCCAAGGUUCCAUGGUCUAUGAGUGAUAGCAACGUGAGACCUGAGAGUCUAGGUCACAAAGCCGGCCACGUCCGUCUUCCCCCGUCACUGCGUCUCCUGAGGGUGGAGCGAGGUCCAGAGGGCCCUGGAGAGCCCGUCGGACGGCAGACAAUCCACAGAUGAUUCUAUGCACGUGAUGAGUUCUGGGAACAGGUGUGAACAGGGACAGAAAGGAAGCAGCCUUGGCGGGAAAUUCCUCUUGUACCGGACGCCACAGAAGGGCAUUCACAUCCCUUGUCUCAAGGGCGGCUCACCACACCCCUGCCAGGUGGCUGUUGUGAUCCCGUUUCAGUGACGAGUGAGGCUGAGCCUCAGAGAGUUUCCGUGAUACCCCCGGGUCACACAGCCAGACGGCGGGGAGCUAGCAGCCAGCCCCAGCUCUGACGUGCACUUUAGAAAGGUCACUCUCACUGUCAUGUGAAAGAAGGACUUGGUAAGACAGAGAAAAGCAGAGAGACUCAAAUGAUCUUCACAAGGGGGCCAAGAGCAUUCAGUGCGGGAAAGGGCUGUCUUUUCAAUGAGUGGUGCUGGGAAAACCGGAUCUCCACAUGUGAAAGGAGGAAGUUAGUCCCUACCUCACGCCGUACACAAAACUUCACUCAAAAUGGAUCAGGGACCUAAGUGUAAGGCCUAAAACAGUAAAACUCUUAGAAGAAAACACAGGACCAAAGAUUCAUGAUGCUGGAUUUGGUGAUGAUUCCUUGCAUAAGACUCCAAAGGGACAGGUAACAAAAGGAAAAAUAGACAAAUUGGACUUCAUGAAAAUUUAAAAAUUUUGUGCAUUAAAAAUUACUGUCAACAGAGUAAAAAGGUAACUCCCAGAAUGGGAGAAAAUAUUUACAAAUCAUAUAUCUGAUAAGGAAUUAAUAUCCAGAACAUACAGAGAAGUAAAACUCAACAACAACAAAAAACCCAAAUCAAAAAUGGGCAAAUGACUUGAAUUGACGUUUUUCUAAAGAAGACAUGCAAAUGGCCGAUAAGCACAUGAGAGAUGAUCAACACCACUGAUCAUGAGGGAGAUGCAAAUCAAAACCGCAGUGAGUACCACCUCACACCCAUCAGGAUGGCUGUUAUAUUAAAAAGCAAACAAAUGGAAAAUAAGAAGUGUUGGUGAGGAUGUGGACAGACUGGAACCCUCGUGCACCUUUGGUGGGAAUGGAAAAAGGUACAGCUGCUCUGGAAAACCGUGUGGUGGUUCCUCAAAAAGUUAAAAAUAGAGUUACUAUAUGACCCAGAAAUUCCACCUCUGGGUAUACACCCAGAAGAACGGAAAACAGUCUCGAACAGAUAUUUGCACACCCAUGCGCACAGCAGCAUUAUUCACAACAGCCAAAAUGCGGAAGUAACCCAAGUGCCCGUCAACAGAUGAGCGGAUAAACAAAAUGGGGCACAUCCAUACCAUGGAAUAUUAUUCGGCCCUAAAAAGGAGGGGAAUUCUGACACGUGCCACAACACAGAUGAGCCCUGAGGACAUUAGGCUGAGUGAAUGUACACAUAGAGACACAACAGAGUGUGAUGGAUUCACGGAUCUGGAGCCCCACAGCAGGAUGCAGAAACGUAGCUGGGCGUCAUCGACGUGCAGGUGACCACAAGGGCACGAUCUCCACGAGCUUGCUCAUGGACGCUUUGAGGAGAGAAGAGGGCUGAGGUCAGAUCCCUCUAGAGCUCAGCGGUAUGGGGUCCAAGCUGGAGGAAGGGCCCGGAGAUGAGGAUGAGGUCAGGGAGGUGGAGGGACGGGAGGAGAGUGUCAGGGAAGGCGAGGGAGGGGUCAGGAGGCACCUGGUCCCCCUCGUUCAGAGAGUCUUUGCUCCCUCCUGGGCCCAGCACCCCUCCACUUUCAGUCCGUGUGAUUUGUGGGGCUGACCCACCCCCAGCUCCAGGAAGCGGGGAGAGAAGGCCUGGCCUGGGUCCAGCUAAUAAUAUUCCAUCUCCUGGCUCUGGUGAUUGGCUCAAGAGUGGGCCUGUGACCAACGUAGGGCCUGGAGAUUCAAUCAUGGGACUUCUGCUGCAAAAACUAGGAAGACAAAACUUUCAGGCUUGAGUUCUAGCUGUGAGGAUAAUGCCAAUCUAGAGCUGCCAGUGCCACAUACAGAGCCUGAGCAUUAAGCCAAAGCAGAGGAAAGUGAGUGGGGAGAUGGAGAGCAAGAGGGAUCCAGUCUGGGUGAUAGCAUAUGAGCUUCUGGAUCCAUCAAUGCCUGAAGCCUGCACAACUGGGUCACCCGAGCCAACCAGUUCCCUUUAUGGCUGUGGCAAAUACUGAAAGCAGGCUCCCUCCACACUCAUUCCCAAUCUGUCUCCCGCCUGCCUUCCUCUACCACAGAGUCUGAAAAGCUGAGUCAUUAUUUCCCAGCCUCCUUUGCAGCCAAGGGUGACCAUGAGACACUUUCUGGCCAAUGAGGAAGCCCCUGGGGAGGGUGCCCCUUCCCGAAUAAAGGGAAGUUCUCAUUAGCAGAAUGCCAUUUUUGUCCACUUUCUCGCUGCUUGGAAUGUGGGUGUGAGGCAAGGAGGCGCAGCCGCCAUCUUGCAGCUACAAGGCAACAAGCACGAGAUGCAGGACAAGCACUAAGGAGGAUGGGACCAAAACACAGGCUGAGCCCAGGUUCCUGACGGCACUGUGGGGCUGCGGCUCCAGGCCUGGGCUGCCCCGUCCUGACGUCUUGCAGAGCGAGGCAAUGAGCCCCUGCCACUGGGUUUCUGUUUCCCGCGUGGAGUGGUGUUGGCUGACACACAGAGCCAGGUGAAG
Molecule: long non-coding RNA, 3369 nt
Filed under: Equus caballus (horse)
Lineage: Eukaryota; Metazoa; Chordata; Mammalia; Perissodactyla; Equidae
Description: lncRNA (ENSECAG00000044804.1)
Source: RNAcentral